RNAcentral lists this ribosomal RNA (460 nucleotides) under uncultured bacterium. RNAcentral describes it as "partial 16S ribosomal RNA". It matches the Rfam family "Bacterial small subunit ribosomal RNA", at positions 338 to 795 of the family's 1533-position model. The record is from RNAcentral.
CCUACGGGAGGCAGCAGUGAGGAAUAUUGGUCAAUGGCCGCUAGCCUGAACCAGCCAAGUCGCGUGAAGGAUGACGGCCCUAUGGGUUGUAAACUUCUUUUAUAGGGGAAUAAAGUUAUGCACGUGUGGAUCUUUGCAUGUACCUUAUGAAUAAGCAUCGGCUAACUCCGUGCCAGCAGCCGCGGUAAUACGGAGGAUGCGAGCGUUAUCCGGAUUUAUUGGGUUUAAAGGGAGCGUAGGCUGGUUGUUAAGUCAGUGGUGAAAGUUUGUGGCUCAACCGUAAAAUUGCAGUUGAUACUGGCAGCCUUGAGUACAGUUGAGGUAGGCGGAAUGCGUGGUGUAGCGGUGAAAUGCAUAGAUAUCACGAAGAACUCCGAUUGCGAAGGCAGCUUACUAAACCGUAACUGACACUGAUGCACGAAAGCGUGGGGAUCAAACAGGAUUAGAUACCCCUGUAGUC